RNAcentral lists this ribosomal RNA (197 nucleotides) under uncultured bacterium. Its description in RNAcentral is "partial 16S ribosomal RNA". It matches the Rfam family "Bacterial small subunit ribosomal RNA", at positions 328 to 539 of the family's 1533-position model. The record is from RNAcentral.
ACGCUCGACACCUACGGGAGGCAGCAGUGGGGGAUAUUGCACAAUGGGGGAAACCCUGAUGCAGCAACGCCGCGUGAAGGAAGAAGGUCUUCGGAUUGUAAACUUCUGUCCUCAGGGAAGAUAAUGACGGUACCUGAGGAGGAAGCUCCGGCUAACUACGUGUCAGCAGCAGCGGUAAUCUGAGCGGCUGGCAAGGC